ACGGUCCUAAGGUAGCGAAAUUCCUUGUCGGGUAAGUUCCGACCUGCACGAAUGGCGUAACGAUGGCCACACUGUCUCCACCCGAGACUCAGCGAAAUUGAACUCGCUGUGACGAUGCAGUGUACCCGCGGCUAGACGGAAAGACCCCAUGAACCUUUACUAUAGCUUUACACUGGACUUUGAAUAUAUCUGUGUAGGAUAGCUGGGAGGCUUUGAAGCGGCGACGCCAGUCGUCGUGGAGCCACACUUGAAAUACCAGCCUGGUCUGUUUGAGGUUCUAACCCAGGUCCGUAAUCCGGAUCGGGGACAGUGUAUGGUGGGUAGUUUGACUGGGGCGGUCUCCUCCCAAAGAGUAACGGAGGAGCGCGAAGGUACCCUCAGCACGGUCGGAAAUCGUGCAUUGAGCGCAAAGGUAUAAGGGUGCUUGACUGCGAGACUGACACGUCGAGCAGGAACGAAAGUUGGUCUUAGUGAUCCGGUGGUUCUGUAUGGAAGGGCCAUCGCUCAACGGAUAAAAGGUACUCUGGGGAUAACAGGCUGAUACCACCCAAGAGUUCAUAUCGACGGUGGUGUUUGGCACCUCGAUGUCGGCUCAUCUCAUCCUGGGGCUGAAGCAGGUCCCAAGGGUAUGGCUGUUCGCCAUUUAAAGAGGUACGCGAGCUGGGUUUAGAACGUCGUGAGACAGUUCGGUCCCUAUCUGCCGUGGGCGUUGGAGAUUUGAGAGGAGCUGCUCCUAGUACGAGAGGACCGGAGUGGACGUACCUCUGGUGUUCCGGUUGUCAUGCCAAUGGCACUGCCGGGUAGCUAUGUACGGACGGGAUAACCGCUGAAAGCAUCUAAGCGGGAAGCUCACCUCAAGAUGAGAUCUCCCUGGGAAUUCGAUUCCCCUGAAGGGCCGUCGAAGACUACGACGUUGAUAGGCUGGGUGUGGAAGCGCAGUAAUGUGUGAAGCUAACCAGUACUAAUUGCCCGUGAGGCUUGACCAUAUAACACUCAAAGAGUU
Molecule: ribosomal RNA, 1003 nt
Filed under: Gammaproteobacteria bacterium RIFCSPLOWO2_01_FULL_47_190
Lineage: Bacteria; Pseudomonadati; Pseudomonadota; Gammaproteobacteria
Description: bacterial LSU rRNA
Rfam family: Bacterial large subunit ribosomal RNA
Source: RNAcentral